RNAcentral lists this transfer RNA (70 nucleotides) under Taenia crassiceps. Its description in RNAcentral is "tRNA-His". The record is from RNAcentral. Lineage: Eukaryota; Metazoa; Platyhelminthes; Cestoda; Cyclophyllidea; Taeniidae.
UACUAAUAGGUUAUGAAAACUAAUAGAUUGUGGUUCUGUUGAAUACUAUUAAUUUAAUUGUAUUAGUAAA